AACGCGAAGAACCUUACCUGGCCUUGACAUGCACUGGACAUGCGCUGAAAGGCGUCCUUCCCGCAAGGGACCGGUGCACAGGUGCUGCAUGGCUGUCGUCAGCUCGUGUCGUGAGAUGUUGCGUUAAGUCGCGCAACGAGCGCAACCCCUGUCCUUAGUUGCCACCAUUCAGUUGGGCACUCUAGGGAGACAAACCCUCUUUGAGGGUGGGAAGGUGGGGAUGACGUCAAGUCAGGAUGGCCCUUACGGCCAGGGCUGCACACGUGCUACAAUGCCCAGCACAGAGGGACGCAAUACCGCAAGGUGGAGCAAAUCCUCAAAACUGGGCCCAGUUCAGAUUGUAGUCUGCAACUCGACUACAUGAAGUUGGAAUCGCUAGUAAUGGCGUAUCAGCUACGACGCCGUGAAUACGUUCCCGGGCCUUGUA
This 427-nucleotide ribosomal RNA is filed under the name uncultured Verrucomicrobiota bacterium. Its description in RNAcentral is "bacterial SSU rRNA". It matches the Rfam family "Bacterial small subunit ribosomal RNA", at positions 958 to 1385 of the family's 1533-position model. Lineage: Bacteria; Pseudomonadati; Verrucomicrobiota. The record is from RNAcentral.